CCCUUAGAUGCUCUGGGCCGCACGCGCGCUACACUGAUGCAUUCAACGAGUCUAAAACCUGCUCUGAUAGGGGUGGGUAAUCUUUUGAAUGUGCAUCGUGAUUGGGAUAGAUGAUUGCAAUUUUUCAUCUUCAACGAGGAAUGCCUAGUAAACGCAAGUCAUCAGCUUGCAUUGAUUACGUCCCUGCCCUUUGUACACACCGCCCGUCGCUCCUACCGAUUGAAUGAUCCGAUGAAUAUCAUGGAUUGAGGAUGCAAGUAGGUUAGCCUAUCUUCAUCUUCGAGAAGUGAAGUAAAUCUUAUCAUUUAGAGGAAGGAGAAGUCGUAACA
Molecule: ribosomal RNA, 329 nt
Filed under: uncultured eukaryote
Lineage: Eukaryota
Description: partial 18S ribosomal RNA
Rfam family: Eukaryotic small subunit ribosomal RNA
Source: RNAcentral